UGCAAGUUGAGAUUUAAAUAAUUUGCUUUCUAUUUUACUGGGCUGAUGUUGCAUGCAUCUGAUGGUCUGUCUCAGCAGAGGGAAAGAGCAGAAGAUUGAGGGUUCGCCACUCAACAGCCCUCCGCUCUCCCUUUCCUCCACUGACACUAACCAAAAAGGGACACCGUCUUCAGCUGAUGGCGAAACUCGAGUCGCAUCGCAUUAUUUCUGCAUCAUGCACAAAUUCAUAUUGUUACUCCUAUGAACAGAGAAAGUGAAAUAUUCCUUGAUAUUAAAAAAGACCCAAGCCGCUAAUAAUAACAACGGAAGCCUACAGAUCAACUUACUCAUUCAUUACUGCUUUAGUGCUUGUUGUAGCGCUGAGUGGAAAUAGGAAGAAAGCGCAUUUUAUGGCUAAUAAAAGUGUUGAAUACAAAGUGUUGACAGUGCUGAGUAAGAACUUAAACAUGAAAUCAUAAAAACAGCAGCUCAUAGCUGUAUUCGUUGACAGUCUCUCUGUAGUCAUAGUUUGAAACAUUUUGAAAUAUCACAGUAUCAACUUUGCUGUAGAUUUCUUAUGCCUGCUACGCUACGUUACUGCAGACACUAUAAUCUGAGCCAUCCGAUUGGCCAGCGGUAAGCCUAUAGUGCACUUGAUUUGCUCUCUGGGCCCGCUGGGAAGGCAGAGUUUGUACCUUCAGACAUGAAAUGAUUCAUAAUGGCAACAGCUUGCCUACUCGGCGCGGGGCAGCUGAAUCGGGUGCAUCUACCGCCAACAAAAAAAGGAACACAAGGCUUUAUCUUUGGGUUUUUUACAGAAAUGUUUGGCAUUUGACUAGGAAUGCCUUGGUGACCAUUGCUCUAGAGUUGAGUUGAGUUAAAUCUUGUCCUUCUCUCUGUGAGCUGAUAUUUCUGCGUGUGGGGCCUGGUAUAAUGGUAUGAUAACAGGUGCCACUCUGGUUUCUACCAGAGGCGGUGCCUCCUCUUGACAACGCUUCGCUCCAACGCUUCACUUAAUUUAGUUUUCAAUUUGCAUAAAGUAGAGCAGAGCUCAACUUUUUGUACUGCUCCACUAGCAGGGUUCUCGCCGCUCAUCUUCCCACAAUCCCCCGCACAUUUCUCUGUGUGCCUUAAUUUGAAAAUGAAUGGGGGUGGAACUUCUGCUGAAUUUGUUGUUUGACCUGAAAAGGGCCUCCGCUUGUCAACUCUUCGCUGCAAAAGACUGGCCGCUUCGAGGGCAUAGGUGUGAAUGUAUUCUAAUAUGGCGAGCUUUGAAAGUCUGUCCUCAGAUUAAGUGGUCCCAAUGGAUGUCCCAAGAGACUGCUGGCACAUUCUUGUAUGCCAUGGGUUGUAUGUGUACUUAUGUUAGCAAAGGUACACAACAAUACAGUUCAAAUUCACACACAAUGUAGGCUUCAAACCUAUUACAACUGGAGCAGACCAAUCCUGCUCCUGGAGUUAUGCUGGAUGUGCAGGCAUCUGUUCAAGCCCAGUAGUAACACACCUGAUACAACUUAUCGAACCUAAAGAGUUGAUAAAAAUGUGUAUUAUUGCUGGGCUGGAAUAGAAGUCUGCUCACCAGGUAGACCAGGGUGUGGAGCAAGGUUGACUACCUCUGGUAUGGACUAGUUUUUGUUCAACUGAAAGUAUGCUUUAGUAAUAAUAGCCUACUUACUAAGAUGUCUAACAUGUACGAACAAGUUAACAUGUCAUUACAAAAUGUACAAAUAAACUGAGUUGAUUUAUUCAUUGUUGAUUCAUUGAAGUAAAGUUGUUAAACUUGUUUAAAUUGUUAACUUAAAACUGUUAUUCAAGAUGAACUAGUGUCAAUGUUCAUUAAUCACAGGUCACAAUUCUGCAAUAAAAAGGGGUGAAGGGGAUCUGUCUUUAA
Oncorhynchus tshawytscha (Chinook salmon) is the source of this 1870-nucleotide long non-coding RNA. RefSeq lists it as uncharacterized. NCBI's taxonomy places the organism in Eukaryota, Metazoa, Chordata, Actinopteri, Salmoniformes, Salmonidae. The transcript is spliced from 2 exons. The record is from RefSeq and is a predicted model, not a curated record.